UUUAAUCGGUAAAUCGAUUGGGUAAUCUUGUAUCCGCCAGCAAAUCGAGCGAAGGAGCAUAUAGUGCGUUUUGAUCACAAAGGAGUGGAUUUAGAGGGUAGAGAAGUAUCAAGGUGAAAUAGGCUUAUGUUCAUAAGCCUGCGAGGUUAGAGUCGACAUUAUGUCAGUGGUGUUGCGCAGCUUUGCAUCUUUGGCGAGUCACUGGUGGUCAACUUGGUUUAGUAGUCGUGGCAUGUUAUGUAAUAGUUUAAUCUUUAACCUUCCGCUGGAUAAAUGUUAAGUUUUUAAAUGUAAUAGAUUUUAAUUAUGCUUUUAAGCUAAAAGAAAAAGGAAAAAUUUCAGCACGGGUUUUCGAUACUGAAACGUGACAUCACUUAUUCGGUGGGUUACCUACCGGGUAAGGGGUGUUACAAGUUUUGGUAUCAGAGCCUAGGUUUAGGCGGUUCUGGAAAGAAGUGAUUCAGUAAAGUGUGUAGAAACAUGCCACAUAGGUUUAAUUGUCUGUUAGUACCAGUGACUCGAUGCAGCUGCUUAUGUCUAAAGUGGAAAGAAGUUAACAAGGUACGGGACAUAGUUUCCCGUGUGACCGAGAAAGAUGUUAUAUGGGACUGGCCACCCCAUAUAGCUCUAAUCUCGGUAGCGUCGGUAUGUGUAAAAGAUUUAAAAAAAAAAUUCAGGGAGGAUGGGUCUGAAAAUGUUGAUGAAAAGUAUGUCCUAAUGAAAGAUACUAAUAAAUAUAUGCAGAUUAUGAAAGAGUAUAAGUAAAAGAGAAGAAAAUGAGUUAAAGGAAUGAUAUGGAAAGAAAGUAAGUUAUAGACUAAGUGACCAUCAUGAUAUAAAAGUGUAACACGAAAAUUCACAAAGGUAUGUGGAUUGUCUGAUAUAAGAUGGAUUAAGAGUCAUAAAGUAAUAUCCUAUAAUGAUAAACAAAAGUAUAGAAAUAUGUGAAAGGAAAUGUGUUUGGCAAAAUGAUAAAUAUUGAUAUGAAAACAUAUGAAACUAUAAGGCAUUAUAUGAAUAAAACCAUAAAUGUGCGAAUGAGAAAAUGCGACGAAUAAGAAAUAAAUGAUAUGAUCUGAACAUGUGUGCCCCUAUAUGGAUUACAUGUGUACUUCGAAUCGGGCAAUAUGAGAUAUGACGUGAUGUGAUGGAAAUAUGAACUGAAUAAUCGUGCAAGACAAUAAAUUAUAUGAUUGGAAAUGUGAACUCCGUGAGAAUUAUGUGUGCGCUCGAAUACGAGCUAUAUAAAUGUUAGAACCGAAUGAUGAUUCAGAAAUGAAAUGGAAAAUGGGAAUGUAUGCUCUAAGCGAGCUGUAUAGUAUAUGAUAAGAUAUGUCUAAAAAUAUGAGUUUGAAAUUGAGCUAUAUGAUAUAAAAUGGUAUUCUGGUUGAAAGUGUUGUCUGUGAUCUGUAAAUGUGUUAGUUAUGGAUAAGAAUGAGUUUUGAAAAUAAAUAUGGUUGUUGAUGAAUACUGACUUGAUAUUUGAAUUAUGUUGUGAUUUGGUGGUUUGAUUUGAUAAUCUGUGAUUAACAUUGUAUCUUGUUGGUUUUGGGGAAGCACUGGUUAUAGAGAAAACGCUGCCCAAUUUUUGCUAGAAAUUGAUCAGAUAAAUUAAUACGAAAUUGUGGUAAAUAAACUGAUAAGUGAUAAUACAUGAAGAGAAUGAUGUUACAUGAUGACUUAAGAAAGGAAAAAGGGAAAAGAUAAGAAGUGUUGUGAAUGAUAAUAAAGGAAAACGUAAUGAAAUGAUGAUAUGUGGAAAGUGAAAUGCACCCUUCGUCGGCUAUAAGUGCCCGAAUAGGGACUAUGCAAUUGGGACUAUACAAUAUAUGAUGAGUAUGUGAAUUAUACAUAUGCGUGAUGAAUAUGAUAUGUGCGCCUCAUGUGGACAAAGAAAAGAUGCAAAUAACAUGGAAAUUACUAUGUAAAGAAAUGAUAAUGUGACAAAUGUGCAUGAAAUAUAUUAGAGAUAAUGAUAAUAUUAUUAUGUGAUCGCAAAAUGUGGCUAUGUGUUAAGAUGUGAUUAUGUGAUUUUGUAUGUCAUUCUGUGUUUGGUUAUGGAAGUGAGGAUACGCUAUGUAGAUGAGGAUAUAGGAUGUCGUGGAAUGGCAUACGUAUAUGCGACGCUUAUAGGAAUGAUGUAAACCCGAGGGAAUUUCGAGGACGAAAUUCCUUUUAGGGGGGAUGAGUUGUAACAUCCCGAAUUAUAGGCACCAAUAAAAGGUUUGGAUAUGUGGUGAGGAAUAGUAGUUAAGUUAAACCGUAAGGUAUAAAUUUGAUACGAAAUGCCGAUUAGUCAAUUUUCGGCAAUUUCUUUUGUCCGUGUAAAAUCAUAAAUCGAAGCUAAGGGGUAAUAAUUUUAUAAAUUACAAAUUAUGGCCUAGAAUAAUUGUUGAUAAUGUGAGGAAUUGUUUUGGGCCAUUUGAAGGUAAUUAAAAAAAUUUCUAUCGCCGAUAAUUUCAGUUUUUAACGAAAACGAUCGGCGAAACUUUUGAAGAUAUAGACAGGAAUAAUUUUGCCUUAAACUAGAAUUUAAAUGCUAAAUGAUGAUAUAAAGAGUUCCUAAAUGUGAUAUCAUAUGAUAGGGCAAUAAAAUGUUACAAGAUAAUUAAUUUAUUUAAAAACUAACUAAAUAAUUAAAUAAUGAUUAGAAUUCUCUAGAGAAUUCUUUUGUCUAUCAUCAACUCCAAACCCCCCCUCAUUUCAGCCAGAAGCACGUCCUCCCCCUCUCCAUGGAAGACCAAAAGCUUAAGCUUUUUAAUUUCCAAAUAUUUGUCAUUUAAUCGGUAAAUCGAUCGGGUAAUCUUGUAUCCGCCAGCAAAUCGAGCGAAGGAGCAUAUAGUGCGUUUUGAUCACAAAGGAGUGGAUUUAGAGGGUAGAGAAGUAUCAAGGUGAAAUAGGCUUAUGUUCAUAAGCCUGCGAGGUUAGAGUCGACAUUAUGUCAGUGGUGUUGCGCAGCUUUGCAUCUUUGGCGAGUCACUGGUGGUCAACUUGGUUUAGUAGUCGUGGCAUGUUAUGUAAUAGUUUAAUCUUUAACCUUCCGCUGGAUAAAUGUUAAGUUUUUAAAUGUAAUAGAUUUUAAUUAUGCUUUUAAGCUAAAAAGAAAAAGGAAAAAUUUCAGCACGGGUUUUCGAUACUGAAACGUGACAUCACUUAUUCGGUGGGUUACCUACCGGGUAAGGGGUGUUACAAGUUUUGGUAUCAGAGCCUAGGUUUAGGCGGUUCUGGAAAGAAGUGAUUCAGUAAAGUGUGUAGAAACAUGCCACAUAGGUUUAAUUGUCUGUUAGUACCAGUGACUCGAUGCAGCUGCUAAUGUCUAAAGUGGAAAGAAGUUAACAAGGUACGGGACAUAGUUUCCCGUGUGACCGAGAAAGAUGUUAUAUGGGACUGGCCACCCCAUAUAGCUCUAAUCUCGGUAGCGUCGGUAUGUGUAAAAGAUUUAAAAAAAAAAUUCAGGGAGGAUGGGUCUGAAAAUGUUGAUGAAAAGUAUGUCCUAAUGAAAGAUACUAAUAAAUAUAUGCAGAUUAUGAAAGAGUAUAAGUAAAAGAGAAGAAAAUGAGUUAAAGGAAUGAUAUGGAAAGAAAGUAAGUUAUAGACUAAGUGACCAUCAUGAUAUAAAAGUGUAACACGAAAAUUCACAAAGGUAUGUGGAUUGUCUGAUAUAAGAUGGAUUAAGAGUCAUAAAGUAAUAUCCUAUAAUGAUAAACAAAAGUAUAGAAAUAUGUGAAAGGAAAUGUGUUUGGCAAAAUGAUAAAUAUUGAUAUGAAAACAUAUGAAACUAUAAGGCAUUAUAUGAAUAAAACCAUAAAUGUGCGAAUGAGAAAAUGCGACGAAUAAGAAAUAAAUGAUAUGAUCUGAACAUGUGUGCCCCUAUAUGGAUUACAUGUGUACUUCGAAUCGGGCAAUAUGAGAUAUGACGUGAUGUGAUGGAAAUAUGAACUGAAUAAUCGUGCAAGACAAUAAAUUAUAUGAUUGGAAAUGUGAACUCCGUGAGAAUUAUGUGUGCGCUCGAAUACGAGCUAUAUAAAUGUUAGAACCGAAUGAUGAUUCAGAAAUGAAAUGGAAAAUGGGAAUGUAUGCUCUAAGCGAGCUGUAUAGUAUAUGAUAAGAUAUGUCUAAAAAUAUGAGUUUGAAAUUGAGCUAUAUGAUAUAAAAUGGUAUUCUGGUUGAAAGUGUUGUCUGUGAUCUGUAAAUGUGUUAGUUAUGGAUAAGAAUGAGUUUUGAAAAUAAAUAUGGUUGUUGAUGAAUACUGACUUGAUAUUUGAAUUAUGUUGUGAUUUGGUGGUUUAAUUUGAUAAUCUGUGAUUAACAUUGUAUCUUGUUGGUUUUGGGGAAGCACUGGUUAUAGAGAAAACGCUGCCCAAUUUUUGCUAGAAAUUGAUCAGAUAAAUUAAUACGAAAUUGUGGUAAAUAAACUGAUAAGUGAUAAUACAUGAAGAGAAUGAUGUUACAUGAUGACUUAAGAAAGGAAAAAGGGAAAAGAUAAGAAGUGUUGUGAAUGAUAAUAAAGGAAAACGUAAUGAAAUGAUGAUAUGUGGAAAGUGAAAUGCACCCUUCGUCGGCUAUAAGUGCCCGAAUAGGGACUAUGCAAUUGGGACUAUACAAUAUAUGAUGAGUAUGUGAAUUAUACAUAUGCGUGAUGAAUAUGAUAUGUGCGCCUCAUGUGGACAAAGAAAAGAUGCAAAUAACAUGGAAAUUACUAUGUAAAGAAAUGAUAAUGUGACAAAUGUGCUUGAAAUAUAUUAGAGAUAAUGAUAAUAUUAUUAUGUGAUCGCAAAAUGUGGCUAUGUGUUAAGAUGUGAUUAUGUGAUUUUGUAUGUCAUUCUGUGUUUGGUUAUGGAAGUGAGGAUACGCUAUGUAGAUGAGGAUAUAGGAUGUCGUGGAAUGGCAUACGUAUAUGCGACGCUUAUAGGAAUGAUGUAAACCCGAGGGAAUUUCGAGGACGAAAUUCCUUUUAGGGGGGAUGAGUUGUAACAUCCCGAAUUAUAGGCACCAAUAAAAGGUUUGGAUAUGUGGUGAGGAAUAGUAGUUAAGUUAAACCGUAAGGUAUAAAUUUGAUACGAAAUGCCGAUUAGUCAAUUUUCGGCAAUUUCUUUUGUCCGUGUAAAAUCAUAAAUCGAAGCUAAGGGGUAAUAAUUUUAUAAAUUACAAAUUAUGGCCUAGAAUAAUUGUUGAUAAUGUGAGGAAUUGUUUUGGGCCAUUUGAAGGUAAUUAAAAAAAUUUCUAUCGCCGAUAAUUUCAGUUUUUAACGAAAACGAUCGGCGAAACUUUUGAAGAUAUAGACAGGAAUAAUUUUGCCUUAAACUAGAAUUUAAAUGCUAAAUGAUGAUAUAAAGAGUUCCUAAAUGUGAUAUCAUAUGAUAGGGCAAUAAAAUGUUACAAGAUAAUUAAUUUAUUUAAAAACUAACUAAAUAAUUAAAUAAUGAUUAGAAUUCUCUAGAGAAUUCUUUUGUCUAUCAUCAACUCCAAACCCCCCCUCAUUUCAGCCAGAAGCACGUCCUCCCCCUCUCCAUGGAAGACCAAAAGCUUAAGCUUUUUAAUUUCCAAAUAUUUGUCAUUUAAUCGGUAAAUCGAUCGGGUAAUCUUGUAUCCGCCAGCAAAUCGAGCGAAGGAGCAUAUAGUGCGUUUUGAUCACAAAGGAGUGGAUUUAGAGGGUAGAGAAGUAUCAAGGUGAAAUAGGCUUAUGUUCAUAAGCCUGCGAGGUUAGAGUCGACAUUAUGUCAGUGGUGUUGCGCAGCUUUGCAUCUUUGGCGAGUCACUGGUGGUCAACUUGGUUUAGUAGUCGUGGCAUGUUAUGUAAUAGUUUAAUCUUUAACCUUCCGCUGGAUAAAUGUUAAGUUUUUAAAUGUAAUAGAUUUUAAUUAUGCUUUUAAGCUAAAAAGAAAAAGGAAAAAUUUCAGCACGGGUUUUCGAUACUGAAACGUGACAUCACUUAUUCGGUGGGUUACCUACCGGGUAAGGGGUGUUACAAGUUUUGGUAUCAGAGCCUAGGUUUAGGCGGUUCUGGAAAGAAGUGAUUCAGUAAAGUGUGUAGAAACAUGCCACAUAGGUUUAAUUGUCUGUUAGUACCAGUGACUCGAUGCAGCUGCUUAUGUCUAAAGUGGAAAGAAGUUAACAAGGUACGGGACAUAGUUUCCCGUGUGACCGAGAAAGAUGUUAUAUGGGACUGGCCACCCCAUAUAGCUCUAAUCUCGGUAGCGUCGGUAUGUGUAAAAGAUUUAAAAAAAAAAUUCAGGGAGGAUGGGUCUGAAAAUGUUGAUGAAAAGUAUGUCCUAAUGAAAGAUACUAAUAAAUAUAUGCAGAUUAUGAAAGAGUAUAAGUAAAAGAGAAGAAAAUGAGUUAAAGGAAUGAUAUGGAAAGAAAGUAAGUUAUAGACUAAGUGACCAUCAUGAUAUAAAAGUGUAACACGAAAAUUCACAAAGGUAUGUGGAUUGUCUGAUAUAAGAUGGAUUAAGAGUCAUAAAGUAAUAUCCUAUAAUGAUAAACAAAAGUAUAGAAAUAUGUGAAAGGAAAUGUGUUUGGCAAAAUGAUAAAUAUUGAUAUGAAAACAUAUGAAACUAUAAGGCAUUAUAUGAAUAAAACCAUAAAUGUGCGAAUGAGAAAAUGCGACGAAUAAGAAAUAAAUGAUAUGAUCUGAACAUGUGUGCCCCUAUAUGGAUUACAUGUGUACUUCGAAUCGGGCAAUAUGAGAUAUGACGUGAUGUGAUGGAAAUAUGAACUGAAUAAUCGUGCAAGACAAUAAAUUAUAUGAUUGGAAAUGUGAACUCCGUGAGAAUUAUGUGUGCGCUCGAAUACGAGCUAUAUAAAUGUUAGAACCGAAUGAUGAUUCAGAAAUGAAAUGGAAAAUGGGAAUGUAUGCUCUAAGCGAGCUGUAUAGUAUAUGAUAAGAUAUGUCUAAAAAUAUGAGUUUGAAAUUGAGCUAUAUGAUAUAAAAUGGUAUUCUGGUUGAAAGUGUUGUCUGUGAUCUGUAAAUGUGUUAGUUAUGGAUAAGAAUGAGUUUUGAAAAUAAAUAGGUUGUUGAUGAAUACUGACUUGAUAUUUGAAUUAUGUUGUGAUUUGGUGGUUUGAUUUGAUAAUCUGUGAUUAACAUUGUAUCUUGUUGGUUUUGGGGAAGCACUGGUUAUAGAGAAAACGCUGCCCAAUUUUUGCUAGAAAUUGAUCAGAUAAAUUAAUACGAAAUUGUGGUAAAUAAACUGAUAAGUGAUAAUACAUGAAGAGAAUGAUGUUACAUGAUGACUUAAGAAAGGAAAAAGGGAAAAGAUAAGAAGUGUUGUGAAUGAUAAUAAAGGAAAACGUAAUGAAAUGAUGAUAUGUGGAAAGUGAAAUGCACCCUUCGUCGGCUAUAAGUGCCCGAAUAGGGACUAUGCAAUUGGGACUAUACAAUAUAUGAUGAGUAUGUGAAUUAUACAUAUGCGUGAUGAAUAUGAUAUGUGCGCCUCAUGUGGACAAAGAAAAGAUGCAAAUAACAUGGAAAUUACUAUGUAAAGAAAUGAUAAUGUGACAAAUGUGCUUGAAAUAUAUUAGAGAUAAUGAUAAUAUUAUUAUGUGAUCGCAAAAUGUGGCUAUGUGUUAAGAUGUGAUUAUGUGAUUUUGUAUGUCAUUCUGUGUUUGGUUAUGGAAGUGAGGAUACGCUAUGUAGAUGAGGAUAUAGGAUGUCGUGGAAUGGCAUACGUAUAUGCGACGCUUAUAGGAAUGAUGUAAACCCGAGGGAAUUUCGAGGACGAAAUUCCUUUUAGGGGGGAUGAGUUGUAACAUCCCGAAUUAUAGGCACCAAUAAAAGGUUUGGAUAUGUGGUGAGGAAUAGUAGUUAAGUUAAACCGUAAGGUAUAAAUUUGAUACGAAAUGCCGAUUAGUCAAUUUUCGGCAAUUUCUUUUGUCCGUGUAAAAUCAUAAAUCGAAGCUAAGGGGUAAUAAUUUUAUAAAUUACAAAUUAUGGCCUAGAAUAAUUGUUGAUAAUGUGAGGAAUUGUUUUGGGCCAUUUGAAGGUAAUUAAAAAAAUUUCUAUCGCCGAUAAUUUCAGUUUUUAACGAAAACGAUCGGCGAAACUUUUGAAGAUAUAGACAGGAAUAAUUUUGCCUUAAACUAGAAUUUAAAUGCUAAAUGAUGAUAUAAAGAGUUCCUAAAUGUGAUAUCAUAUGAUAGGGCAAUAAAAUGUUACAAGAUAAUUAAUUUAUUUAAAAACUAACUAAAUAAUUAAAUAAUGAUUAGAAUUCUCUAGAGAAUUCUUUUGUCUAUCAUCAACUCCAAACCCCCCCUCAUUUCAGCCAGAAGCACGUCCUCCCCCUCUCCAUGGAAGACCAAAAGCUUAAGCUUUUUAAUUUCCAAAUAUUUGUCAUUUAAUCGGUAAAUCGAUCGGGUAAUCUUGUAUCCGCCAGCAAAUCGAGCGAAGGAGCAUAUAGUGCGUUUUGAUCACAAAGGAGUGGAUUUAGAGGGUAGAGAAGUAUCAAGGUGAAAUAGGCUUAUGUUCAUAAGCCUGCGAGGUUAGAGUCGACAUUAUGUCAGUGGUGUUGCGCAGCUUUGCAUCUUUGGCGAGUCACUGGUGGUCAACUUGGUUUAGUAGUCGUGGCAUGUUAUGUAAUAGUUUAAUCUUUAACCUUCCGCUGGAUAAAUGUUAAGUUUUUAAAUGUAAUAGAUUUUAAUUAUGCUUUUAAGCUAAAAAGAAAAAGGAAAAAUUUCAGCA
Long non-coding RNA from Salvia splendens (bonfire salvia), 8680 nucleotides. RefSeq lists it as uncharacterized. NCBI's taxonomy places the organism in Eukaryota, Viridiplantae, Streptophyta, Magnoliopsida, Lamiales, Lamiaceae. The transcript is spliced from 5 exons. The record is from RefSeq and is a predicted model, not a curated record.